CUCAAGCGUUGUUCGGAUUCAUUGGGCGUAAAGGGUGCGUAGGCGGCGCGGUAAGUCGGGUGUGAAAUUUCGAGGCUUAACUUCGAAACUGCAUUCGAUACUGCCGUGCUUGAGGACUGGAGAGGAGACUGGAAUUUACGGUGUAGCGGUGAAAUGCGUAGAUAUCGUAAGGAAGACCAGUGGCGAAGGCGGGUCUCUGGACAGUUCCUGACGCUGAGGCACGAAGGCCAGGGGAGCAAACGGG
Molecule: ribosomal RNA, 244 nt
Filed under: uncultured bacterium
Lineage: Bacteria
Description: partial 16S ribosomal RNA
Rfam family: Bacterial small subunit ribosomal RNA
Source: RNAcentral